CCUACGGGUGGCAGCAGUGAGGAAUAUUGGUCAAUGGCCGUAAGGCUGAACCAGCCAAGUAGCGUGAGGGAAGACUGCCCUAUGGGUUGUAAACCUCUUUUAUGCGGGGAUAAAGGUGUCCACGUGUGGAUGUUUGCAGGUACCGCUUGAAUAAGGCCCGGCUAAUUCCGUGCCAGCAGCCGCGGUAAUACGGGGGAUGCGAGGGUUAUCCGGUUUUAUUGGGUUUAAAUGGUGAGCAGGCGGAAUGUAGAGUCCGCGGUAAAAUUUGGGGGCUCAACCCCGGCGUGCCGUUGAAACUGGCGUUCUUGAGUGAGCGAGAAGUAGGCGGAAUGCGUGGUGUAGCGGUGAAAUGCAUAGAUAUUACGCAGAACGCCGAUUGCGAAGGCAGCAUACCGGCGCUCAACUGACGCUCAUGCACGAAAGCGUGGGUAUCGAACAGGAUUAGAUACCCCUGUAGUC
Molecule: ribosomal RNA, 459 nt
Filed under: uncultured bacterium
Lineage: Bacteria
Description: partial 16S ribosomal RNA
Rfam family: Bacterial small subunit ribosomal RNA
Source: RNAcentral